CAGUAGCCGCGGUAAUACGGAGGGAGCUAGCGUUGUUCGGAAUUACUGGGCGUAAAGCGCGCGUAGGCGGUUAGUCAAGUCAGAGGUGAAAGCCAGGGGCUCAACCCCGGAACUGCCUUUGAAACUAGGUGACUAGAAUCUUGGAGAGGUCAGUGGAAUUCCGAGUGUAGAGGUGAAAUUCGUAGAUAUUCGGAAGAACACCAGUGGCGAAGGCGACUGACUGGACAAGUAUUGACGCUGAGGUGCGAAAGCGUGGGGAGCAAACAGGAUUAGAUACCCGUGUAGUCCCUGUCUCUUAUAA
RNAcentral lists this ribosomal RNA (301 nucleotides) under uncultured bacterium. Its description in RNAcentral is "partial 16S ribosomal RNA". It matches the Rfam family "Bacterial small subunit ribosomal RNA", at positions 509 to 809 of the family's 1533-position model. The record is from RNAcentral.